This is a long non-coding RNA of Heterocephalus glaber (naked mole-rat), 3826 nucleotides long. The record is from Ensembl. Lineage: Eukaryota; Metazoa; Chordata; Mammalia; Rodentia; Bathyergidae.
GCUCCGCAGGCGCUCACGGCCCCGCCGCCCUCCGGGGGCCGCAGCGCGAUCUCCAUGGCCCGGGGGCGGGGGGCAUGCUGGGCCCUGCCGGGCUCGCCGCUCCCGUCCGCUGCUCUCCGCCGGUCUGGUCGGGCGGGCAGGGCUGCUGGCUCCCGGGUCCUGACGUCAGGCUGCCACCGCCUCGCCUCAGACUCUGGGCUCUGGCAGCCGUUACCAAGCAGCCAAAAGCCUCCUUCCCGCAGACGCCACCCGCGGCCUCCGCCCACCGCGCCGUCUCCGCCCCGCGCCCCCUCCGGCCGGGCUGUAGUCCCGCAGGAGGGCAGGAGGGCAGGAGGGAGCCGCGCGCCGAGCCAGGAACAGCUGGGGCUCAGCCACCACCCUUUGGAUUUUCCAAUGGUGCUUCAGCACGUCUGUGGCUGCCAACAAGGAAAUGCCCACUGGACACCUGAUGGCUGGAUUCAAAGCUGCCUGGCUGCUCUUCCCUCCUUCAGGUUACUCUACUAGACUGGGUGAUAUUGAAAGCCAGUGACCAAAUGGUGUGAGCUUGCUAUUGUAGAGCCCAGGAAUAAGACAGGGUUGCAGUAAGUGUGUGUGUGUGUGAGUGUGUGCGUGUGUGUGCAUGUGUGUGGACUUGAGCUGAGAUGAGGAAGGGGUGGCUGCUAACACCAAGGUGAUGUGCUGACCAUGACACUGGAAGCAGGAAGCCACGGCUGGAUUCUCACUCUGCAUGUCUAUUACUUACCUUAUUUGGGUAAGUAGUUUAGCCUAUCCCAAUCUAUUAACUUUUUAAUAUAUGAAAUGGGGACUACAACAAUGAAUUCAUAUGUCACAGUGGAUUCAUGUAAAAUCCAAACUGCAUUUGAACUGGGGCUAUUAUUGUAAAAUUGAAGAAUACAUUUUGGUCUUCAACCUCAUUUCUUGGCAUAUAACUGUGAAAAUCCUUGGGAUCUUCAAAGUGAGGAAUCUUGCUGUAUGCUAAUGAGUUGGCUCAAGGCCCGCAGCCCCUAGGUGGUUUCCAGAGAGGGACUGCGCAAUGGAAAAACAGAAGCAGGAGUAGAGGGGUUGAGGCCUUCCCAUUCAGCUUCCAACUCUGGGAGAAGUGAAGAAGUGAGGAGUGAGAGGUUAAGUUGAUCACUAGUGACCAAUAACUUAAUCGAUCAUGUCUGUGUAAUGAAGCCUCCAUAAAACCCCAAAAGAAUGGGGUCUGGAGACCUCCUAGAUAACCAGACACAUGGGGGUGCAUGGAGGGGGUGCCCAGGGAGGCCUGCAGGCUCCACACCCCUUGCUGCAGCCCUUGCGGUGAGUCUGUCUCUGUAAUAUCCUUUAUAAUAAGGGGCUGAGUAAAUAUUUCCCUGAGCUACUCUGGCAAAUUAAUGGAGCCCAUGGAGAGGUUGUGGGACCCCAGAUCUGCAGCCUGUGGGCCAGAAGCCCAGGGAAACAACCCAGGAUGUGACUGGCAUCCGAAGUGGGGCUGGAGGGGCAGGCUUGGGGACUGAGCCCUAAGCCUGGGGCAUCAGAAUUGAGCCCCACUGCUGAAGACCUGCAGGUGGGGGUGAGGAAAACCCUACCACACUUAGAAUCAGACGCAGUAAGAUGGAGCGUAAGACUGGGUUUGAUUUUUUUCCCUGUAUCUUCAGAAUUGUUUCCACAGUAGUUAACAUUUCUUGAAUUCCUAUUAUGUGCUCAAUCUUGAACUAUGCCUUUUACGUACACAUCCUCCAAAACGACCCUGAGAGGUAGAUGUGAUUAUUAGUCCUAGUUUAUAGCUAUGGAAACCAAAAGUUGAUCCGAUUAAGGAGGGUGUUGAGGCUUCUCGACUAGUAACCGGCAGAGCCCUGCUAAGUGCUGGUCACUGUGCACCGUUAUUAAGGCAUCUUCUCUCCUAGCUCUGUUCCUCUUCCUAACCUUCUCCUCCCGUGCCCUUGGUCUCCAGUGAUGAGUGCCUGGUAGCCCGGAAGAGUUCCCAGGCCUUUUCCUGUUAUCCCCGAGAAGUCUCCAACGGGUGCGAGGUCCAGCAUCUCAUCUCGACCCAGAGGCAGAGAUUGACACGUGGGAGGCUGGGGCAGCCUGGUAACUUCUCAGCCUACACAGCGCCACCUGCUGGCUCCCUUCUCCUGCGCAGCCAGGAAGCAGGAGGCAGAGUGGAAGGGGAAGUCCUCAGGCACACGCUGUCUCUGGAUGUGAAGUCAGCUCUGCAGAACGUCCUGGCCGUUCGACCUUGAGGAAGCUGCGGUUCAGCUCCAGACUGUGUAACCACCUUGUGAGAAGACCUGUUCACCCUGACCCAGUCUGAGGAGGCACAGCCUGGAGAGGGGGAGAAAAGGCCAAAGCCCCCACCCCACUCUAAUUCUGUGUUGAUUCUGGUCAAGGCCCUUCAUUAAUGAAAGGCAUUAGUUUUGUUUCUCAAAGAAAAACAAUUUUAGAUACUAAGGUCGUGUGCAACCUUGGCUGAGGGUUGCUGUCGUUCUACUACUGACAGAGCAUUGCUGCAGAUGGAUUAUCACUGCUGUCAAACCUCCCAACAGGCUCUUUCUUUGGACAGCUUUCAUCAGACCUCUGAACCUUCUCCUACACCCAUUUGUGCAAGACCUUGUCAAGUCGGACUUUUUUCGGUGCAGGGGAUCAAACUCAGGACCUUCCACUUGUAAGGCAGGCACGGUGCCACUGAGCUAAAUCCCGGCCCUUCAAGUCUGAUUUUAGCAAAGAGCUCACGCCCUCAGCAUCCCUCACCCUGGUGUCUGGGGAGGCCCCUCAUCCUGUGCCAGAAGACAUCAGGUUUCCCUGUCCUGAAUGCACCCAUGAUUCUUCAGGUCAGCACAGCCCGGGUCCUGGCCCUUGCGCUUCUCCGUCAUUUUCCACCCACUGACCUCACCCUGCCUGGGCGAAGACUCCCGCUUGGCCACGCUGCAGGUGACGUGAACCCUAAUCUCAGUGCUCCCUGCAAGAUCAUACUGAGUGGUCCCGACACCCCAAUACCUGGAUGGUCCUGGACAAAGUCCUUCUUGCCACAGUUUCACAAGUGUCACUGAAUGUUUUUUUCUGUAACAUCCCCAAGAUUUUUACUCUAAGAAGCCUUUCCUGUAACCCUAAAUGCAUCCCUGGUCUGCAUAAAGUUAGUUUUCGGGUGGGGGUGACUUUUUCAAUGUCCAGCUUCUCGGUGGCCCUGAAGAAGAGGCCUCAGACCUACGCUGGACGAAUGCUGAGGUGCAGAUGUCUGGAGAGUGCAUUUCGCCCCAAGGACUACAGUUACCACAGCAAGAAGCCUGGGCCCCGUGGAGGUGGCCAGAAGCCCUGAGCACCCUGACUCUGGGAUUACGUCUUUGCUCAGAGUCCUGUUUCGCUCCCACACCCAGAUGAGACUGGCUGUCUCAACUUUCCAUGGCACAGCGACGUAGCUGAAGAUGUGACUAAAAGCAUUUGCGUUCUGUGGGCCUCUUGAAGGCAAUCAGGGUGGAUUUGGUUUGUCCGGGUCUCCAACACCAACUUCAGUGCCCAGAAAGCAAUGCAUCUUUGGUGUUUGUGGAGUGAAUGAAAGGUUAGCACAAGGGUUAGCUAUGCCGUUUUGUCAACAGCAAAGACCUUCAAGCAGUACUUCAAACCAAUGCUUUCAUAAUUCUCACAAACUAGCUCACAGAUCUAGAGUGUGUCACAUUAUAAUAUUAAAUAUAACAUUAAAAUAUUGCAUUUUAUGAUUAAACAAAAUAGGCAUUGUAAAUACCAGGAAAAAUGCAAAGAAAAUUAAAAAAUCUGUAAUCACACCAUCCAGACAGCCAUUGUUACCUUUUUGUGAUUACGUUUUUAUUUAUAAUUAUUUUAAAAUUGGAAU